GGGGGUGCUGGGGUUCGACGAAUAAACAAGUUAUACUGGCGCAGGCAGAGGAUGGUGGUUGGCCUCUUUAAACAUCCACCAAAAAAUAAACGCUGACUAUAAUUACGCUUUAGCAGCUUAGUUGCUGCUAACGUUCUAAGUAGCUUUUGCCUGUAGGGCGCUUAAAACGUAGGCAUACAGGUCCUGCAAUGAGGUACGCCCAAGCCAAAGUUGCAGUGUAACAAGUGAGGCUAUGCUUUUGUGCUUUUGUUGCUUUAACACAAAAGCAGAAAUUAAAAAGCAACUAAGCCUGUAGCUUGGCAGUAUAAUGUGUUUAUUCGGACGCGGGUUCAACUCCCGCCACCUCCACCA
RNAcentral lists this transfer-messenger RNA (351 nucleotides) under Caldisericaceae. RNAcentral's name for it is "CAJXKN01 sp913055585 Standard tmRNA". It matches the Rfam family "transfer-messenger RNA". From Rfam's summary of the family: Bacterial tmRNA, also known as 10Sa RNA or SsrA, is named for its dual tRNA and mRNA-like properties. The record is from RNAcentral. RNAcentral also lists the same sequence under 1 other name. Lineage: Bacteria; Pseudomonadati; Caldisericota; Caldisericia; Caldisericales.